GCGUGUGGGAAGAAGGCCUUCGGGUUGUAAACCACUUUUGUCAGGGAAGAAACGGUCUGGUCUAAUAAACCGGACUAAUGACGGUACCUGAAGAAUAAGCACCGGCUAACUACGUGCCAGCAGCCGCGGUAAUACGUAGGGUGCAAGCGUUAAUCGGAAUUACUGGGCGUAAAGCGUGCGCAGGCGGCUUUGCAAGACAGAUGUGAAAUCCCCGGGCUCAACCUGGGAACUGCAUUUGUGACUGCAAGGCUAGAGUACGGCAGAGGGGGAUGGAAUUCCGCGUGUAGCAGUGAAAUGCGU
Molecule: ribosomal RNA, 300 nt
Filed under: uncultured bacterium
Lineage: Bacteria
Description: bacterial SSU rRNA
Rfam family: Bacterial small subunit ribosomal RNA
Source: RNAcentral